CAUGGGAGUUGGUUUUACCCGAAGACGGUAUCCUAACCUUUUAGGAGGGAGCCGGCCACGGUAGGGUCAGCGACUGGGGUGAAGUCGUAACAAGGUAGCCGUAGGGGAACCUGCGGCUGGAUCACCUCCUUUCUAAGGAAAGUAUAGAAUGUAAACGCCGCCGUCUUUGAAUCUCUUCUUCUUAAACUUGAAAUAAAAGUUUGCUACAGCUAAAGGCGCGUAGCUCAGUUGGUUAGAGCGCACGACUGAUAAUCGUGAGGUCGGCAGUUCAAAUCUGCCCGUGCCUACCACUGUUUCUAGUAAGUUUAAGAUAUAUUAAUAGUUGAGAUAAGAAUUGAUGUAAUAUCAAUCUGAUUGAAAUAGUUGGUGAAGAUGAUCCCAAAUAAUAGGGCAAUAUAGCACAAUAUAUUGUCCAGCUUACGGAUUGUACUUAAAAUUACAUUUUCAAGAUUAUGUUUUUUUAAAGUAGUAAUGGUUGUCUGACCAGUUACUACUUUCAUGUACGGUCCGAUCAAGCGUCUUGAAGAGCAUUUGGUGGAUGCCUUGGUACAGAGAGGCGAUGAAGGACGUGACACGCUGCGAUAAGCUGUGGGGAGCCGUGAGUAGGCUUUGAUCCGCAGAUU
RNAcentral lists this unclassified non-coding RNA (623 nucleotides) under uncultured marine bacterium. Its description in RNAcentral is "partial contains 16S ribosomal RNA, 16S-23S ribosomal RNA intergenic spacer, and 23S ribosomal RNA". The stretch from base 1 to 132 matches the Rfam family "Bacterial small subunit ribosomal RNA", at positions 1403 to 1533 of the family's 1533-position model. The record is from RNAcentral.